This 395-nucleotide ribosomal RNA is filed under the name uncultured bacterium. Its description in RNAcentral is "partial 16S ribosomal RNA". It matches the Rfam family "Bacterial small subunit ribosomal RNA", at positions 523 to 918 of the family's 1533-position model. The record is from RNAcentral.
AUACGUAGGGUGCAAGCGUUAAUCGGAAUUACUGGGCGUAAAGCGUGCGCAGGCGGUUUUGUAAGACAGUGGUGAAAUCCCCGGGCUCAACCUGGGAACUGCCAUUGUGACUGCAAGGCUGGAGGGCGGCAGAGGGGGAUGGAAUUCCGCGGGGAGCAGUGAAAUGCGUAGAUAUGCGGAGGAACACCGAUGGCGAAGGCAAUCCCCUGGGCCUGCACUGACGCUCAUGCAGGAAAGCGUGGGGAGCAAACAGGAUUAGAUACCCUGGUAGUCCACGCCCUAAACGAUGUCAACUGGUUGUUGGGGAUUUAUUUUCUCAGUAACGAAGCUAACGCGUGAAGUUGACCGCCUGGGGAGUACGGCCGCAAGGUUAAAACUCAAAGGAAUUGACGGGG